Molecule: ribosomal RNA, 255 nt
Filed under: uncultured bacterium
Lineage: Bacteria
Description: partial 16S ribosomal RNA
Rfam family: Bacterial small subunit ribosomal RNA
Source: RNAcentral
UACGAGGGGAGCAAGCGUUGUUCGGAUUUACUGGGCGUAAAGGGCGCGUAGGCGGCCACUACAAGUCACUUGUGAAAUCUCCGGGCUUAACUCGGUAGCGGUCAAGUGAUACUGUUGGGCUAGAGUGCGGAAGGGGCAACUGGAAUUCUCGGUGUAGCGGUGAAAUUCGUAGAUAUCGAGAGGAACACCGGUGGCGAAGGCGGCCAACUGGACGAGUACUGACGCUGAGACACGAAAGCGUGGGGAGCAAACAGG